UGAGUAAGUCAGAUGGUCGCGGAUCGCAUUUGCGAACGAGGAAAGUCCGAGCUCCGUAGGGCAAGGGUGCUGGGUAAUACCCAGUGGAGGUGACUCCAAGGAAAGUGCAACAGAAAUAAACCGCCAAUCAUUAUUGGUAAGGAUGGAAAGGGGAGGUAAGAGCUCACCGCUUCUCUGGUGACAGAGAAGGCUAUGUAAACCCCACCCGGAGCAAGACCAAGUAGGGAUUUAAAAAGGCGGCUGCCCGUCGCUUCCCGUUGGUAGGUCGCUUGAGCCUACUGGCAACAGUAGGCCUAGAUAGAUGGCUGUCAGAUACAGAACUCGGCUUAUAGACUUACUCAUAAU
RNAcentral lists this RNase P RNA (345 nucleotides) under Marinisporobacter balticus. Its description in RNAcentral is "Bacterial RNase P class A". It matches the Rfam family "Bacterial RNase P class A". From Rfam's summary of the family: Ribonuclease P (RNase P) is a ubiquitous endoribonuclease, found in archaea, bacteria and eukarya as well as chloroplasts and mitochondria. Its best characterised activity is the generation of mature 5'-ends of tRNAs by cleaving the 5'-leader elements of precursor-tRNAs. Lineage: Bacteria; Bacillati; Bacillota; Clostridia; Peptostreptococcales; Thermotaleaceae. The record is from Rfam by way of RNAcentral.